RNAcentral lists this transfer-messenger RNA (359 nucleotides) under Oxalobacter sp. It matches the Rfam family "transfer-messenger RNA". From Rfam's summary of the family: Bacterial tmRNA, also known as 10Sa RNA or SsrA, is named for its dual tRNA and mRNA-like properties. Its role is to liberate the mRNA from a stalled ribosome. The record is from RNAcentral. Lineage: Bacteria; Pseudomonadati; Pseudomonadota; Betaproteobacteria; Burkholderiales; Oxalobacteraceae.
GGGGGCGACUUGGAUUCGACAGGGGUUGCAAAGCAUGCAGGGCAUACCGAGGCCUGGUUACCUCGUAAAUACACCCAGAAAAAACUAAACGCAAACGAUAACGUUUACGCUGUAGCCGCUUAAUACCGGCUCACCCUGCACCGUCUCUUCCCUGGGGCGGGUCGGCAACGGCAGCAGGGUCAUUUACAGGGAAUCGCUUCAGGCGUCGUCAUCUGACCUGAAGUUAAAUCAAAGGUGAACCGCCUGUGUGCAGCGUGUGCGUCCGCGUCACGCAGGUUAAAUCAAAUGACAGCACUAAGUAUGUAGAACUGUUUGUAGAGUGCUUCUGGACGCGGGUUCGACACCCGCCGCCUCCACCA